This 472-nucleotide ribosomal RNA is filed under the name uncultured bacterium. Its description in RNAcentral is "bacterial SSU rRNA". It matches the Rfam family "Bacterial small subunit ribosomal RNA", at positions 355 to 825 of the family's 1533-position model. The record is from RNAcentral.
UGGGGAAUUUUGGACAAUGGGCGCAAGCCUGAUCCAGCCAUGCCGCGUGAGUGAAGAAGGCCUUCGGGUUGUAAAGCUCUUUCGGCGGGGACGAAACGGUUCGUGACAACACCACGGACUAAUGACGGUACCCGCAUAAGAAGCACCGGCUAACUACGUGCCAGCAGCCGCGGUAAUACGUAGGGUGCAAGCGUUAAUCGGAAUUACUGGGCGUAAAGCGUGCGCAGGCGGUUGUGUAAGUCAGAUGUGAAAUCCCCGGGCUCAACCUGGGAAUUGCAUUUGAGACUGCACGGCUAGAGUGUGUCAGAGGGGGGUAGAAUUCCACGUGUAGCAGUGAAAUGCGUAGAUAUGUGGAGGAAUACCGAUGGCGAAGGCAGCCCCCUGGGAUAACACUGACGCUCAUGCACGAAAGCGUGGGGAGCAAACAGGAUUAGAUACCCACGUAGUCCCUGAGCGGGCUGGCAAGGCGCAU